CUUAGAUUAUCUCAUUAAGUAGACACGAAAAAGACAAUAUUCUAUUUCCUAAAAUCUUGCAAACUAGAAGAUCUUCUUUGCUUCACGUCCAAGCAAUAUCUUCUAUUUCCAUAAGUUUGUGACACGUCAUCACUCGUAACAAACUCGCCAUACUGUGUUACACGAUCACCGCACUGUGUAACACACUCUUAGCUCAGCUCGAAAACGCUCACAAUCUUGAGCUUACUCAGUUUGUUUCUCUCAAGCGAGAUGUUGCCUUUAUCGGUCUUGAGGUAUCGAUUCUGUCAUCUCAAGCGAGACGUUGGCAUCAUUGGUCUCAAGCGAGAUGUUGGUUUUAUCAGUCUUGAGCAAGACAUUAGUUUCAUUUUGAGCGAUACUUUCCUUUCAUCGCGAUCUCGUCAGAUCAAAUAUCAUAGAAGGUUUUGUCUUUAUUCCUUGUCACAAUCAAAGUAUGAUUUCGUCGUAGGGAAAUAAAGGCGUUUACGGUUCUAGGCUUCUAGCUCUCGAACUCCGGCGGCGAGCUCUCGUUCUGUCCUUUUGAUCGGCGGUGGUCAGAAUAUUUAUUGUUCCUUCGUCGGUUUUUGUUUCGAACGAGAAAUCAGGUUCGAUGGUUUUCGCGAGAAGUAUGGUCCGUCUUUUUGUGAAAUGUCGUUUAUGAACAAACCAGCUUAAAAACUCUGAUUGGCUGAGUGCGAUCUUGUGUCAGAUUUUGUGUGAAGAACUCGCGUUCUUCACCAAACACGGAGUCGUAUCAAGGCGAUAGAUGAAACAUGAAGAGCUACCUCUUCUCCGGCUCGCGUCCAUCUUUGUCAGGAGUUGACGACUUUUGUUUCUCUUUAGCUCGUAAAACAACUAUGGCAACGUCGUGUUGAUUACGUAAGAAGAACUUGAAAUGUAUUUCG
Molecule: long non-coding RNA, 902 nt
Filed under: Brassica napus (rape)
Lineage: Eukaryota; Viridiplantae; Streptophyta; Magnoliopsida; Brassicales; Brassicaceae
Description: long non-coding RNA (BNAP_LNC011046)
Source: RNAcentral